AUUGAACGCUGGCGGCAGGCCUAACACAUGCAAGUCGAACGGUAACAGGAAGCAGCUUGCUGCUUUGCUGACGAGUGGCGGACGGGUGAGUAAUGUCUGGGAAACUGCCUGAUGGAGGGGGAUAACUACUGGAAACGGUAGCUAAUACCGCAUAACGUCGCAAGACCAAAGAGGGGGACCUUCGGGCCUCUUGCCAUCGGAUGUGCCCAGAUGGGAUUAGCUAGUAGGUGGGGUAACGACUCACCUAGGCGACGAUCCCUAGCUGGUCUGAGAGGAUGACCAGCCACACUGGAACUGAGACACGGUCCAGACUCCUACGGGAGGCAGCAGUGGGGAAUAUUGCACAAUGGGCGCAAGCCUGAUGCAGCCAUGCCGCGUGUAUGAAGAAGGCCUUCGGGUUGUAAAGUACUUUCAGCGGGGAGGAAGGGAGUAAAGUUAAUACCUUUGCUCAUUGACGUUACCCGCAGAAGAAGCACCG
This 478-nucleotide ribosomal RNA is filed under the name uncultured Escherichia sp. Its description in RNAcentral is "bacterial SSU rRNA". It matches the Rfam family "Bacterial small subunit ribosomal RNA", at positions 30 to 495 of the family's 1533-position model. Lineage: Bacteria; Pseudomonadati; Pseudomonadota; Gammaproteobacteria; Enterobacterales; Enterobacteriaceae. The record is from RNAcentral.